AUUGAACGCUGGCGGCAGGCCUAACACAUGCAAGUCGAGCGGAUGAAGGGAGCUUGCUCCUGGAUUCAGCGGCGGACGGGUGAGUAAUGCCUAGGAAUCUGCCUGGUAGUGGGGGAUAACGUCCGGAAACGGGCGCUAAUACCGCAUACGUCCUGAGGGAGAAAGUGGGGGAUCUUCGGACCUCACGCUAUCAGAUGAGCCUAGGUCGGAUUAGCUAGUUGGUGGGGUAAAGGCCUACCAAGGCGACGAUCCGUAACUGGUCUGAGAGGAUGAUCAGUCACACUGGAACUGAGACACGGUCCAGACUCCUACGGGAGGCAGCAGUGGGGAAUAUUGGACAAUGGGCGAAAGCCUGAUCCAGCCAUGCCGCGUGUGUGAAGAAGGUCUUCGGAUUGUAAAGCACUUUAAGUUGGGAGGAAGGGCAGUAAGUUAAUACCUUGCUGUUUUGACGUUACCAACAGAAUGAGCACUGGCUAACUUCGUG
RNAcentral lists this ribosomal RNA (484 nucleotides) under uncultured bacterium. Its description in RNAcentral is "partial 16S ribosomal RNA". It matches the Rfam family "Bacterial small subunit ribosomal RNA", at positions 30 to 507 of the family's 1533-position model. The record is from RNAcentral.